AGCGAACAGGAUUAGAUACCCUGGUAGUCCAUGCCGUAAACGUUGGGCACUAGGUGUGGGGGACAUUCCACGUUUUCCGCGCCGUAGCUAACGCAUUAAGUGCCCCGCCUGGGGAGUACGGCCGCAAGGCUAAAACUCAAAGGAAUUGACGGGGGCCCGCACAAGCGGCGGAGCAUGCGGAUUAAUUCGAUGCAACGCGAAGAACCUUACCAAGGCUUGACAUGGGCCGGACCGGGCUGGAAACAGUCCUUCCCCUUUGGGGCCGGUUCACAGGUGGUGCAUGGUUGUCGUCAGCUCGUGUCGUGAGAUGUUGGGUUAAGUCCCGCAACGAGCGCAACCCUCGUUCCAUGUUGCCAGCGCGUAAUGGCGGGGACUCAUGGGAGACUGCCGGGGUCAACUCGGAGGAAGGUGGGGACGACGUCAAAUCAUCAUGCCCCUUAUGUCUUGGGCUUCACGCAUGCUACAAUGGCCGGUACAAAGGGUUGCGAUACUGUGAGGUGGAGCUAAUCCCAAAAAGCCGGUCUCAGUUCGGAUUGGGGUCUGCAACUCGACCCCAUGAAGUCGGAGUCGCUAGUAAUCGCAGAUCAGCAACGCUGCGGUGAAUACGUUCCCGGGCCUUGUACACACCGCCCGUCAAGUCACGAAAGUUGGUAACACCCGAAGCCGGUGGCCUAACCCCUUGUGGAGGGAG
Molecule: ribosomal RNA, 691 nt
Filed under: Arthrobacter sp. T0-YC6762
Lineage: Bacteria; Bacillati; Actinomycetota; Actinomycetes; Micrococcales; Micrococcaceae
Description: bacterial SSU rRNA
Rfam family: Bacterial small subunit ribosomal RNA
Source: RNAcentral